CAAGAAUCUUCAGCAUCCUUCCAUAAAGUGAGAUGGGUGUUCCAGAAACCCUGAGAAGCCCAUCCAGAGUGGGAUGCAGCCAGACCUGUGAGGAGCGUUGCCAAAGCCAGCAGAGUUGGAAAUAUAAUCUUGGAUUCCCUUUAAAGAUAUUUACUAACAAGAAGAAGCCCUGUGUUUCAGGGUAUGAACCUCAGAAAUAAUCUUUCAGAGAAGAGAUGUUUUCUAUAAUAAAACACUAAGUAGCAAGCCA
Long non-coding RNA from Suricata suricatta (meerkat), 250 nucleotides. RefSeq lists it as uncharacterized. The transcript has 3 exons. The record is from RefSeq and is a predicted model, not a curated record. NCBI's taxonomy places the organism in Eukaryota, Metazoa, Chordata, Mammalia, Carnivora, Herpestidae.